Strigops habroptila (Kakapo) is the source of this 105-nucleotide long non-coding RNA. RefSeq lists it as uncharacterized. The record is from RefSeq and is a predicted model, not a curated record. Lineage: Eukaryota; Metazoa; Chordata; Aves; Psittaciformes; Psittacidae. The transcript is spliced from 3 exons.
UAAAACACAGUGAUCCAAUGUGCUGGGUUUGGCUGGGAUAGAGUUAAUUUUCUCCACAGUAGCUGGUGUGGGGUGAUGAUUUGGAUUUAUGCUGAGAACCUGCUG